AACGAACGCUGGCGACAUGCCUAACACAUGCAAGUCGAACGAGACCUUCGGGUCUAGUGGCGCACGGGUGCGUAACGCGUGGGAACCUGCCCUUAGGUUCGGAAUAACUCCCCGAAAGGGGUGCUAAUACCGGAUAAUGUCUUCGGACCAAAGAUUUAUCGCCUUUGGAUGGCCCCGCGUUGGAUUAGCUAGUUGGUAGGGUAAAAGCCUACCAAGGCGACGAUCCAUAGCUGGUCUGAGAGGAUGAUCAGCCACACUGGGACUGAGACACGGCCCAGACUCCUACGGGAGGCAGCAGUGGGGAAUAUUGGACAAUGGGCGAAAGCCUGAUCCAGCAAUGCCGCGUGAGUGAUGAAGGCCUUAGGGUUGUAAAGCUCUUUUACCCGGGAUGAUAAUGACAGUACCGGGAGAAUAAGCUCCGGCUAACUCCGUG
RNAcentral lists this ribosomal RNA (433 nucleotides) under uncultured bacterium. RNAcentral describes it as "partial 16S ribosomal RNA". It matches the Rfam family "Bacterial small subunit ribosomal RNA", at positions 29 to 507 of the family's 1533-position model. The record is from RNAcentral.